GGUCCUCAUUUCUUCAAGAGUAUAUUAAACUACUAUUAAUGAUACUUGUGAUAUAAUGUUGCAAAAGUGUGACAUUUAAGUUGCUGUUCCCUGAAAAAUAAUUUAUUAAAACUUCACAUCAGUAGUGUUGGUUUUUCCAUAAAAAUGUGUAGAAACGAGGGAAAGCAGUGAAAACAGAUUUCAAGUAGACUUUACAAACUCAGCAUGAUGACCAUAAUGAUUAAUUAUAUAUCAAAAUGCAUAUUUAGAUGUAUCAAUAUAAGAAGGAUCUUUAUCAGAGCCAGGCCUCUGUCUGGAAUGUGCUAAAUGUUGCCCGGCUGCUCCCAACACAAACCCAAACAGUGGUGUGUGAUCCAGCUGGACUCAGACAGCCAAUGCCAGAAUUUCAGCGAUGCCCUAACAGACCUAAUCUGCCCUGAUCCCAGAAAUGAGGCCUGCGGUGUCGGGGCCCGUAAGCCUUUUAAGCUGCCUUCCUUAGCAUUCAUUGCUUUUUAAUGGACAGUCUGAAGGGGUUACAAUUGAAACCAUUUACAAGUGACACAAUACAGCUAUACAUAGCAAGUUCCAAAUACAAAAUGGACAUACUUGACUUCAUCAAGGUGGCAUGGAAGCCAGAUCUCCAAAUAUAGGAGAACAAAGCCCCACGAAACAGGCCGGACCAGCGCUUAUAAAGGCAGUUUAAGACUUGUUAGGGUGAGGGACGUCUGUGCUGUCCUUCUGAGACAAUAAGCAGUAGAGAGCGGGAGAUCUUCUUUUAGGUCUGCAACACUCUGGUAAGUAUGAUGAUGAUGAUGAAUUCACAACAUCUUUUUGUUGUCCUGUUUGAGAACAUUUGUUUUCUCGCUCUUGCAGCCAGAUAAAAUGAGCGACGCCGAGAUGGAAAUAUUUGGGGUGGCUGCCCCUUACCUCCGCAAAUCAGAGCGGGAGAGAAUCGCAGCACAAAACAUGCCGUUUGAUGCCAAAACAGCAGUGUUCGUGCCCGACCCGAAGCAGGAGUAUGUGAAGGGGAAGAUCAGAAGCCAAGAUGGAUCCAGUGUCACCGUGGAGACUGAGGACGCAAAGAUUGUCACGGUGCACCUGGACGACAUCCGGCCCAUGAACCCUCCGAAGUUUGACAAGCUGGAGGACAUGGCUCUGCUCACACAUCUGCACGAACCUGCCGUGCUAUUCAACCUCAAGGAGCGCUACGCCGCCUGGAUGAUCUACACCUACUCUGGGCUCUUCUGUGUGACUGUGAAUCCCUAUAAGUGGCUUCCAGUCUACAACCCGGAGGUGGUGUCUGGGUACCGUGGGAAGAAACGUCAGGAGGCCCCCCCGCACAUCUUCUCCAUCUCUGACAGCGCUUACCAGUACAUGCUCAAAGAUCGUGAGAACCAGUCUAUCCUGAUCACUGGAGAAUCUGGUGCCGGGAAGACCGUCAACACCAAGAGAGUCAUCCAGUACUUUGCAACAAUUGCAUCGGUCGGAGACUCGAGCAAGAAAGAGCAACUUCCCGGAAAAAUGCAGGGGAAUCUGGAGGAUCAGAUCAUCCAGGCCAACCCUCUGCUCGAAGCUUUUGGGAACGCCAAGACUGUGAGGAACGACAACUCCUCUCGCUUUGGAAAGUUCAUUCGCAUCCACUUUGGAACAAAGGGGAAGUUGGCCUCAGCUGAUAUUGAAACGUACCUUUUGGAGAAAUCCAGAGUGACCUUUCAGCUGCCAGCAGAGAGGAGCUACCACAUCUUCUAUCAGAUCAUGUCAAACAAGAAGCCUGAAUUAAUCGACAUGAUGCUGAUUACCACCAACCCGUACGACUACCCUUUCAUCAGCCAGGGGGAACUCACUGUGCUGAGCAUCAACGACACUGAGGAGCUGAUGGCCACUGAUAAAGCCAUCGACAUCCUGGGGUUCAACGCGGAGGAAAAGGUUGGCAUCUACAAGCUGACUGGUGCUGUGAUGCAUUAUGGGAACAUGAAGUUCAAGCAGAAGCAGCGAGAGGAGCAGGCGGAGCCCGACGGCACAGAGGUGGCUGACAAAGUGGCCUACCUGAUGGGCAUGAACUCUGCAGAUCUGCUGAAGGCGCUCUGCUAUCCUAGAGUGAAGGUGGGGAAUGAGUAUGUCACCAAGGGACAGACUCCUCAGCAGGUGAACAACGCCAGUGGGGCUCUGUCUAAGGCGGUGUAUGAGAAGCUGUUCCUGUGGAUGGUCACCAGGAUCAACCAGCAGCUGGACACCAAACUACCAAGACAGCAUUUUAUUGGCGUCCUGGACAUCGCAGGGUUCGAGAUUUUUGAGAUGAACAGCCUGGAGCAAAUGUGCAUCAACUUCACCAACGAGAAGCUGCAACAGUUUUUCAACCACCACAUGUUUGUGUUGGAGCAAGAGGAGUACAAAAAGGAAGGGAUUGUGUGGGAGUUCAUUGACUUUGGCAUGGACUUGGCAGCCUGCAUUGAGCUCAUUGAAAAGCCGAUGGGCAUUUUCUCUAUCCUCGAGGAGGAGUGCAUGUUUCCAAAGGCAACAGACGGCUCCUUCAAGAACAAGCUGUACGACCAGCACCUGGGGAAGAACAGCAUCUUCCAGAAGCCCAAGCCCUCCAAAGGAAAGGCUGAAGCCCACUUCUCCCUGGUGCAUUACGCCGGCACCGUGGACUACAACCUGAGCGGCUGGCUGGAGAAGAACAAAGACCCGCUCAACGACACCGUGGUGCAGCUUUACCAGAAAGCCUCCCUGAAGCUGCUCUCACAGCUCUUCGCAACAUACUCCACUGCUGACGCUGAUGGAAGUAAGAGAAGUGCCAAGAAAAAAGGAUCUUCUUUUCAGACGGUUUCAGCACUUUUCAGGGAAAACCUGAAUAAACUGAUGUCCAACCUGCGUUCCACACAGCCACACUUUGUGAGAUGCAUCAUCCCCAAUGAAACCAAGACACCAGGCUCCAUGGAUCACCAGCUGGUCCUUCACCAGCUGCGCUGUAAUGGCGUGUUGGAAGGAAUCAGGAUCUGCAGGAAGGGAUUCCCCAGCAGGAUCCUCUAUGGGGAUUUCAGGCAGAGAUACAGGAUUUUGAACGCCAGUGCGAUCCCGGAGGGGCAGUUUAUCGACAGCAAGAAGGCUUCAGAGAAACUUCUCUCUUCUAUCGAUGUGGACCAUGCCCAGUAUCGAUUUGGAUACACAAAGGUGUUUUUCAAAGCGGGCCUGCUGGGUCUCCUGGAGGAGAUGAGGGAUGAGCGUCUGGCUGUGCUGAUGACUCGAAUCCAGGCCGUUUCCAGAGGCUACGUCACCAGGCUGCGGCUGACGGAGAUGUCAAAGAAAAGAGAGUCCGUUUACAUCAUCCAGUACAACAUCCGUUCUUUCAUGAAUGUGAAGAACUGGCCUUGGAUGAGACUCUUCUUCAAGAUAAAGCCUCUGUUACGAAGCGCAGAGGCCGAGAAGGAGAUGCAGAACAUGAAAGAGGCGUUCUCUCGACUCAAAGAGGAGUUUGCAAAGUCGGAGGCAAGGAGGAAGGAGCUGGAGGAGAAAAUGGUCAUGCUCUUCCAGGAGAAGAACGACCUUUACCUUCAAAUCCAAGCGGAAAGGGAGAACCUGUGCGAUGCCGAGGAGCGGUGCGAAGGUUUGAUAAAGAGCAAGAUCCACCUGGAGGCCAAAGUCAAAGAGUUCUCCGAGAGGAUGGAGGAAGAGGAGGACAUCAACGCAGAAAUCACUGCCAAGAGGAGGAAGCUGGAGGACGAAUGCACUGAGCUCAAGAGAGACAUCGAUGACCUGGAGCUCACCAUCGCUAAAGUGGAGAAGGAGAAAUAUGCCACGGAAAAUAAGGUAAAAAACUUGGUAGAGGAGCUCAGUAGUCUUGAGGAAAAACAGCUGAAGUCUUCAAAGGCGAUCAAAGCUCUGCAGGAGGUGCACCAGCAGACGUUAGACGACCUCCAGGCCGAGGAGGACAAAGUGAACACUCUGAUGAAGAACAAAAUCAAGCUGGAGCAACAGGUUGAUGACCUGGAGGGCUCGCUGGAGCAGGAGAAGAAGGUGAGUGCAGACUUGGAGAGAUUCAGGAGAAAACUGGAGGGGGAUCUGAAGCUGUCCCAAGAAACCACCAUGGACCUGGAGAAUGAAAGGCAGCAAACGGAGGAGAGACUGAAAAAAAAGGACUUUGAAAUCAGCGAUCUGCAGAGCAAAGUCGAUGUUGACCAAGUUCUGAAUACCCAACUACAAAAGAAAAUUAAAGAGCUUCAGGCUCGCACUGAAGAGUUAGAAGAAGCAAUAGAGUCUGAGCGCUCGGCUCGAGCCAAAGUGGAGAAGCAGCGAUGUGAUCUGUCCCGAGAGCUGGAGGAGAUCAGCGAGAGGCUGGAUGAGGCCGGGGGGGCCACCGCCGCUCAGGCCGAGAUGAACAAGAAGCGCGACGCCGAUUUUCAGAGGCUGCGUCGUGAUCUGGAGGAAUCCACCCUGCAGCACGAUGCCAUCGCCGCAACUCUGCGCAAGAAACAGGCCGACAGUGUGGCCGAACUCAGCGAGCAGAUCGAAAACCUCCAGAGAGUCAAGCAGAAACUGGAGAAGGAGAAAAGUGAGCUGAAGAUGGAAAUCGACGACAUGGCGUGCAACACGGAGAGUGUCCUGAAAAGCAAGGCUCAUCUGGAGAAACUGUGCAGGAGCCUUGAAGAUCAGAUGAAUGAAUAUAAAACCAAAGCAGACGAAGCCCAGAGGUCUCCGAGUGAUUACACAACGCUCAGUGCUCGCCAAACAACUGAAAAUGGUGAGCUAACCCGUAUGCUGGAGGAGAAGGAGAUCACUCUGUCGCAGCUGAACAGAAUCAAAAACGUCGGAGGUCAACAGAUUGAAGAGUUGAAGCGACUCUUGGAUGAGGAAACUAAGACAAAGAACGCCCUGGCGCACGCUUUGCAGUCGUCUCGACACGACUGUGAGCUGCUGAGGGAGCAGUAUGAGGAGGAGCAGGAGGCCAAAGGGGAGCUGCACCGCUGCCUGUCCAAAGCCAACAGCGACGUGUCCCAGUGGAGGACCAAAUACGAGACGGACGCCAUCCAACGCACCGAGGAGCUGGAGGAGGCUAAGAAGAAGCUGGCUCAGCGGCUGCAGGAGUCUGAGGAAAUGACAGAGGCAGCUAAUGUCAAAUGUGCAUCUCUGGAUAAAACCAAGCUGAGGCUGCAGGCGGAGGUGGAGGAUCUCAUGGUGGAGCUGGAAAGGUCAAAUGCAGCUAAUGCGGCGUUGGACAAGAAACAGAGAAACUUUGACAAGGUUCUGGUUGAAUAUAAACAGAAACAUGAGGAGAGUCAGUCAGAUCUGGAGGUUUCCCAGAGAGAGUCUCGAGUGUUGAGCACAGACCUUUUCAAACUGAAAAAUUCCUACGAAGAGGCUUUGGAUCAUCUGGAGUCGAUGAAAAGAGAGAAUAAAAACCUUCAGCAGGAGAUUACAGAAAUCACAGAGCAAGUCGGACAAUCUACUAACAUAUGUCAUGAGCUGGAGAAAGUUGCAAAGCAAGCCGAGCAGGAGAGGAGAGAAACCCAGGCGACUCUGGAGGAAGUGGAGUUCAACCUGGAACACGAGGAGGCAAAGAUCCUGCACCUUCAACUGGAGCUGAACCAGAUCAAGUCAGAGGUGGACGGAAAGGUGUCUGAGAAGGACGAGGAAAUCAACCAGCUCAAGAGGAAUAACCAGAGGACCGUGGACACUCUGCAGAGCACGCUGGACGCCGAGACGCGCAGCAGGAACGAUGCCAUGCGGAUGAAGAAGAAGAUGGAGGGGGAUCUGAACGAGAUGGAGGUCCAGCUGAGUAACGCAAACCGCCAGGCGUCCGAGGCCACCAAACAGCUGAGGAACCUGCAGGCGCAGCUGAAGGACGUCCAGGUCCACCUGGAUGAAGCGCUCCUGUGUCAGGAGGACUUCAGGGAGCAGCUAGCCAUCACAGAGCGCCGCACCAACCUCCUGAUAGCGGAGAACGAGGAGAUCAAGGCGGCGCUGGAGCAAUCUGAGAGAAGUCGCAAGCUGGCCGAGCAGGAAGUGAUCGACUUCAGCCAGAGGAUUCAGCUGCUGCACUCUCAGAACUCCAGCCUCAUAAACACCAAGAAGAAGAUGGAGUCAGAUUUAUCUCAGCUGCAGUCAGAGAUGGAGGAUACCGUCCAGGAGGCGAGGAACGCCGAUGAGAAGGCCAAAAAAUCUAUUAUGGAUGCUGCCAUGAUGGCGGAGGAGCUGAAGAAGGAGCAGGACACCAGCUCUCACCUGGAGAGGAUGAAGAAGAACCUGGAGGUGUCAGUGAAGGAUCUGCAGAAGCGUCUGGAGGAGGCCGAGCAGCUGGCUCUGAAAGGCGGGAAGAAAGAGCUUCAAAAUCUGGAAGCCAGGGUGCGUGAGCUGGAAAAUGAAUUGGAUUCAGAACAGAAACGCAGCAGCGAGGCCAUGAAAGGGUGAGGAGGAGAAGAAGAGCGUGGCAAGACUUCAGGAUUUAGUCAACAAACUGCAGCUGAAAGUAAAAGUGUACAAGCGGCAGAGUGAGGAAGCGGAGGAACAAACCGGCGUCCAUUUGGCGAAAGCUCGAAAGGUGCAACAUGAACUGGAGGAAGCGGAGGAACGAGCCGACACGGCAGAAUCCCAGUUGAAUAAGUUACGAU
RNA transcript from Gymnodraco acuticeps, 6584 nucleotides. It is a transcript of the gene named myosin heavy chain, skeletal muscle, adult-like, with no coding region annotated. NCBI's taxonomy places the organism in Eukaryota, Metazoa, Chordata, Actinopteri, Perciformes, Bathydraconidae. The record is from RefSeq and is a predicted model, not a curated record. The transcript is spliced from 38 exons.